GAGUUUGAUCAUGGCCAGGAUGAACGCUAGCGGCAGGCUUAACACAUGCAAGUCGAGGGGCAGCGCGGGUAGCAAUAUCUGGCGGCGACCGGCAAACGGGUGCGGAACACGUACGCAAUCUACCUUGGUCUGGGGCAUAGCCCGGUGAAAACCGGAUUAACACCCCAUAGUAUAAUGGGAGGGCAUCUUUCUGUUAUUAAAAAUUUAUUGGAUCAAGAUGAGCGUGCGUCCCAUUAGCUAGUUGGUAGGGUAACGGCCUACCAAGGCGACGAUGGGUAGCUGAUGUGAGAGCAUGAUCAGCCACACGGGCACUGAGACACGGGCCCGACUCCUACGGGAGGCAGCAGUGAGGAAUAUUGGUCAAUGGACGCAAGUCUGAACCAGCCAUGCCGCGUGAAGGAUGAAGGCGUUCUGCGUUGUAAACUUCUUUUAUUGGGGAAGAAACCUCUUUUUCUAAAGGAGCCGACGGUACCAACGAAUAAGCACCGGCUAACUCCGUGCCAGCAGCCGCGGUAAC
This 517-nucleotide ribosomal RNA is filed under the name uncultured Sphingobacterium sp. RNAcentral's name for it is "bacterial SSU rRNA". It matches the Rfam family "Bacterial small subunit ribosomal RNA", at positions 9 to 524 of the family's 1533-position model. The record is from RNAcentral. Lineage: Bacteria; Pseudomonadati; Bacteroidota; Sphingobacteriia; Sphingobacteriales; Sphingobacteriaceae.